RNAcentral lists this unclassified non-coding RNA (232 nucleotides) under soil metagenome. RNAcentral describes it as "partial internal transcribed spacer 1". The record is from RNAcentral.
UUGAAUUUUAAUGAAGAGUUUGGUUGUAGCUGGCCCAUUCAUUUGGGCAUGUGCACACCUUCCUCUUUCAUCCCACACACACCUGUGAACCUGUGAGACAGAGAUGGGGAAUUUACUUGCUGCUUUUUGGAAUACAAAGGCAAUAGGUUAUCGGACCCCCCCUCUGUCUACUCAAUUAAUAUAAACUCAAUUUAUUUUAAAACGAAUGUAAUGGAUGUAACACAUCUCAUAC